RNAcentral lists this long non-coding RNA (822 nucleotides) under Gallus gallus (chicken). RNAcentral's name for it is "lncRNA (ENSGALG00010022857.1)". Lineage: Eukaryota; Metazoa; Chordata; Aves; Galliformes; Phasianidae. The record is from RNAcentral.
CUGGCAUAUUGCAGAUCUACAGAGGGCAGAUUCUUUCAUUAUAUACAAAAAGAAACAGGAGAGAAUGUGUAGCUACUUAGUGAGCAAAACUGGGGAAAAAUAAAACAAAUGUGCAAAAAGAAUGGGCAUAAAAAUGGAUAAAGAAGAAUUGGUUUUCGUAGAGGGUAGGAUGCAGAUUGAAUAGGUGAACAGUUAAGUAAGGUUUACUCUUCAUAGACGUCGCAUCAAAAUAUAAAAAUAGAUGGUGUGAAACUUGGAUGAAUUGUGUUUCAGUCCAAAAUGCUUAGAUCAUUCUUUCUGUCUCUUGCAGAUUGUUUCACAUGGACUGUGGUUUAUCAUCAUUUCAGCAAGUACUCGGUCUGUAAGACCCAUCACCAAUAUUUUCCCCUACAAUUCUUUUUAUCAGAACUAUACAAAGUACGAAGAUGGUGAGGAUGCAGAUGGAAUUGUGUCUAACUGCAUGUUACUGAGGAAUGAUUCCAUACUGGGAGUUUACCACAAAGAAAAAGCAAAUCCCUCCUCAGGAAUGCUGGGGACGAGCAGAAAUGUCUCUCUGAGGGCUCAUCGGGCUGUGCAUGCCUCACGGGGCCGCAGAUAAAGACUUCACCCUAUGGUACUAUGCAGAUUUAAUGCAUUUAUGCAAGUUUAUGAAUAACUCAUAGGAAAAAAAAAAUCUAUGAUUGUGUUUUCAACUCAUCACAUGAAAGGUUACGUGCGCCAGCUCUAUUUAUGUCUCGAUCUGGGCUCAUUAAUGCAGAUUAACUCCAAAACUCUUCCUCUGUCUGAUUUCCCGAUUUCUCUCGCCCCGGAUCCUGAGGUGAC